GGCCCCGGCUCUUUUGCACCUGGAAUAGCCCCGCCGGAACUCCGAAAUUGGGACUGGUGAGAGGGGCCGUGAGCACGUGACUGACCUUGUUGGGUCUCCGGUGGAAGCCGUUCCCUUAGGGGCGGAACUCCAACCGAAGCAGAAACAACUGUGGUGUGACACUGGCUCUGUGCUAGAUGCUGAGUGUUAUGAAGCUGUGCACACGGCGUGGGAACCUGGAGUGAUGUGAUGGUCAAGGGGGUCUCAGAGAAGAGAUGGCAUUUGAGCUGAGGCUGAAGGAUGAGAAGGAGGCAGCCCUUCCUAGAGGGUGUUCCAGGAAGCCAGGCCAGCAUGAGCAACAUCCCUGAGGCCGGGCACAAGUCAGUCUGUUUGAGACACAGAAGGAAGCCCAGAGUGGCCACUCUGCAGUGAACGAGGCGGACAGAGGAGCAACAUGAGGCUGGGAGAGACACACAGAGGAAGAGGAGGAAGCCAUGUGACCAUGCAUGCAGAGACUGGAGUGAUGCGGCCACAAGCCAAGGAACACAUGGAGCCACCAAAAGCUGGAGGAGGCAAGAAGCAGAUUCUCCCCUGAGCCUCCAGAGAGAGAAUGGCCCUGCUGACACCUUGAUUUUGAACUUCUGGCCUCCAGACCGUGAGAAAAUACAUUUCCAUUUUAAGCAGUCAAAUCUGUGGCUGUUUGUUUCAGCAACCCCAAGAAACUAAUAUAGUGGUCUUCCCUUUCUAGGCUCUGUGAGGCCUGAGAUCUGUGGGUCAAUCAGAAUGGGCCAAAUUCAAGUCUGUUUGUGGACGGAACCAGCACCAAGCAGCUCGUACUGGCAAAAGCAGAACAAACGGGCUCAGACAGAAUUGACUUAUCAAGAAGUGGUUCAAAGACUCAUCGGCAGUGAUAGAGCCUAACAUCAAGGUUCAGAGCACAGACUUGGCAGCCAGAUGGAGUAGGUUCAAAUUCCGGCUCCACUUCUCAGGGACCAGGAAACCUGGGGCAGUUUUCUGAAGCUCUCUGUGCCUCAGUUUAUCCACGUGUAAAAUGAAGACACUAAUAGCAGUCCCCACCUGCAGGGUAGUUGUAAGAAUUAUAUGACUUAACGUAAAGCCCUUGGAACUGACCGUGCCAACAUAUCACAGGUGCAAUAUGAGUGUCUGCUAUGAUUACAAUAACCCAAAUCAAAACAGCCACAAAUGAGCUCAGAAUAGUGAAAUCGAUGCAAAUGUGCUUACGCCUACAUAGACUGAGUCAAACCAGUUAAAACUAGGUGAAACUAGUGUAAACCUGCUCAGACCUCUUGGGUCAACCCUACAAAAACCAGAUUAAAGCAGUCAAAUAGGAUUAGAGCAGGUCUGGAAUCUGUACAUGCAUUUGCACAUGCGAAGGGUCUCUGUUCUCUGUGUGUGUCAGUUUGGACGGUAACAAACAGCCCCACACAUCUCCCAGGGGUGAGAGUGAUGCAUAGGCAGAGGCCAUGGAAGUAAGUCGACAUCUAAGAGAGACCAAGACGUAUUUCCCUGUCGGAAGCACAACCAACAUCUGCUGAAAGAAACACUCAAAUUACUUAUCCUAGGUCAAGCCUC
Physeter macrocephalus (sperm whale) is the source of this 1572-nucleotide long non-coding RNA. RefSeq lists it as uncharacterized. The record is from RefSeq and is a predicted model, not a curated record. NCBI's taxonomy places the organism in Eukaryota, Metazoa, Chordata, Mammalia, Artiodactyla, Physeteridae. The transcript is spliced from 3 exons.